GUUGCCUAAAUGUGGCAAUAGAAUAAUUUUUUUUUUCCAUUUCUAACUUGGAAGAGGAUUCUUCCAACAAUUUUUCAUUUAGGGAAUGCACCACACUCUCGAUGUGCGUACAGAGAAGAUGGCUGGCUGGCUGGAUCCAGGGUUUUAAUGUUUCCAGCAUGAAGGCAGGGACUCGCUGAGGUUACGUGAACCGGUCUCCAACCAUUGAUAUUGGCCCAUUUACUUAUUUCACAGGACAAGAGCAUGGGAACAACCAUCUCCUGGAAUGGCCCUUCCACAGGAAGAGAGGAGGACACAUGGCACAGAGGAAGGAUGGGGCACCUGGAUUCAAAAUCUGCUUACACCAUCCACGGAGCCUGGGAUGUUGAAGAAUUAGUUUUUUCUCUUGGAACUUGCUUUCCUUACUUGUAAAAUAAAGUUAAUCCUACAAAC
RNAcentral lists this long non-coding RNA (432 nucleotides) under Homo sapiens (human). RNAcentral describes it as "novel transcript". The record is from RNAcentral. Lineage: Eukaryota; Metazoa; Chordata; Mammalia; Primates; Hominidae.